Molecule: long non-coding RNA, 1003 nt
Organism: Astatotilapia calliptera (eastern happy)
Lineage: Eukaryota; Metazoa; Chordata; Actinopteri; Cichliformes; Cichlidae
Source: Ensembl
GAAUGAGCACUACCAAAGGAGAGGCCGGAGGAGAGACUCGCAGGGGGAGACUGCAGGGGAAGGAGUCAAACCACGAAGGGCCCCAUCAGCCCCGACCCCCAUUUCUAACUGCGACCCAGCAUUGCCUCCUGUGUCCGGCCUGUCAGCAGCUCCGGAGUCUGCAGAGGUCCAAGAAGAGGAGCAGGAGCAUCUGGAUAAGGAGGAGGAGGAGGAGAAGGUGGUGGAAGAGAGGGAGGAGGAGAAAAAAGUGGUAUUAAUAGGCGACCACGAGCAGCUCGGCGUGCUGUACCAGAGGCAAAAACUAUUGCAGGACCUCGGGGUGGUGAGCCAGAUCCAGCAGCUGCUGCAGGGCCACAGAGAGGGAGGGGGAGCAAACGACUUCUGCUCCCAGCAGCAGAGAAAUCAUCAAAGGCAACACAGGAAGUUGGAUUCACUGACACAUUUUUGUCAAAGGACUAAAGAGCAGGACAUACCUGUGCAGCAGCUCGGGUCCGUCAUGACUCAGCAGCGUUUCCUCCGGCCCACUGUGCACCGCAGCUGCCCGAACGGCGAGUCCAAGAGCCACGGCAGAGCGGGAGAAAUACGCCGGAUCGUCAGCCCCCAGCAGGCGUCCUGGCCAGUCAGCGACUCUCUGAGCAGCUUCUACACCGACGCCCGGUCCCGUCCUGGCAUCCCGACCAUAAACUGCAUCUCCAAAGGAGGCCCUCGAUGCACCAACGACGUGUCCCACGACCCCGACGCCCUGCGCAGCCUGCUCGUCAUCUCCACGUGCGUCCCGCUGCUCCGGAGGCCUGGCUUCCCUCACAGAGCGACCCAGCACGGUAAAGGGCAGUGAGGGCAGCGGGACCGCCGACCUCACGAAGCCCCUCCGAGUCCAGACCUGCAGCUCUCACCUCACACUGAAGCUGCUCCACAGAGAAAUACAAAGAGCCUUGAAGAGAGAAAAUUCAGAAAUACACAAUGCCUUUGAUAAACAUGGAUGUUUGUAUAUAGCUUUUAUACC